AUUUUGUGUGCCAUCGUGAACUUAAUUUAGUAUUUAGUCGGUAAAGACAAUAGAUAAUAUAUGUAAGGUUCGGGAUUACCACCAAAAA
This 88-nucleotide microRNA precursor is filed under the name Medicago truncatula (barrel medic). RNAcentral describes it as "miR2622 stem-loop (mtr-MIR2622)". Lineage: Eukaryota; Viridiplantae; Streptophyta; Magnoliopsida; Fabales; Fabaceae. The record is from miRBase by way of RNAcentral.